GACGAACGCUGGCGGCGUGCUUAACACAUGCAAGUCGAACGGACAGGCCCUGCUUUUGUGGGGUUCUCGAGAGGCGCACGGGUGAGUGACACGUGUGUAAACUGCCCUUGACUUUGGGAUAACAUCAGGAAAAUGGGGCUCUUACCCCAGAGGAGCUCCUGCUGCAUGGUGGGGGUUGGAGAGUUUCGGCGGUUGGGGAUAGUCUCGCGGCUUAUGCGCUUGAUGGGCGAGUAGUGGCUUACCAAGCCUGCGACGGGUAGGCGGCAUGAGAGGGUGAACGGCCACACUGGGACUGAGAGACGGCCCAGACUGCUACGGUAGGCAGCAGUGGGGAAUAUUGCACAAUGGGCGGAAGCGUGAUGCAGCAACGCCGCGAGCGGGAUGACGGGCUUCUGGGUGUAAACCGCUUUCGCCGGUGACGAAGCGUGAGUGACGGUAAUGGGUAAAGAAGCACCGGCUAACUACGUG
RNAcentral lists this ribosomal RNA (468 nucleotides) under uncultured bacterium. RNAcentral's name for it is "partial 16S ribosomal RNA". It matches the Rfam family "Bacterial small subunit ribosomal RNA", at positions 28 to 507 of the family's 1533-position model. The record is from RNAcentral.